UACGGGGGGGGCAAGCGUUGUUCGGAAUUACUGGGCGUAAAGGGCUCGUAGGCGGCCAACUAAGUCGGAUGUGAAAUCCCCAGGCUUAACCUGGGAACUGCAUCCGAUACUGGAUGGCUUGAAUCCGGGAGAGGGAUGCAGAAUUCCAGGUGUAGCGGUGAAAUGCGCAGAUAUCAGGAGGAACACCGGUGGCGAAGGCGGUUCUCUGGGCCUUACCUGACGCUGAGGAGCGAAAGCGUGGGGAGCAAACAGG
RNAcentral lists this ribosomal RNA (253 nucleotides) under uncultured bacterium. RNAcentral describes it as "partial 16S ribosomal RNA". It matches the Rfam family "Bacterial small subunit ribosomal RNA", at positions 524 to 776 of the family's 1533-position model. The record is from RNAcentral.